Molecule: ribosomal RNA, 1278 nt
Filed under: Haemophilus influenzae
Lineage: Bacteria; Pseudomonadati; Pseudomonadota; Gammaproteobacteria; Pasteurellales; Pasteurellaceae
Description: bacterial LSU rRNA
Rfam family: Bacterial large subunit ribosomal RNA
Source: RNAcentral
GUUGUAUAGUUAAGUGACUAAGCGUACAAGGUGGAUGCCUUGGCAAUCAGAGGCGAAGAAGGACGUGCUAAUCUGCGAAAAGCUUGGAUGAGUCGAUAAGAGGCGCUUAAUCCAAGAUAUCCGAAUGGGGAAACCCAGUAGAUGAAGAAUCUACUAUCAACAAGUGAAUUCAUAGCUUGUUGAGGCAAACCGGGAGAACUGAAACAUCUAAGUACCCCGAGGAAAAGAAAUCAACCGAGAUUUCGUCAGUAGCGGCGAGCGAAAGCGAAAGAGCCAGUAAGUGAUAGCAGUAUAGUGAGGAGAAUGUGUUGGGAAGCACAAUCAAAGAGGGUGAUAAUCCCGUAUCUAAAAACCAUAUUGUGGUACUAAGCUAACGAGAAGUAGGGCGGGACACGUGAUAUCCUGUUUGAAGAAGGGGGGACCAUCCUCCAAGGCUAAAUACUCCUGAUUGACCGAUAGUGAACCAGUACUGUGAAGGAAAGGCGAAAAGAACCCCGGUGAGGGGAGUGAAAUAGAACCUGAAACCUUGUACGUACAAGCAGUGGGAGCCCCAUCACUUAAUCCGAUUGGAAGGUGAUGAAAAGCAACCGCACUUAAACAAUGGUAAGAGGAGCGAAGCGAGUCAAACCACCCAAAAGAAGCAGUGGGAUUAAGUGAUGGGGUGACUGCGUACCUUUUGUAUAAUGGGUCAGCGACUUAUAUUUUGUAGCGAGGUUAACUGAAUAGGGGAGCCGAAGGGAAACCGAGUCUUAACUGGGCGAGUAGUUGCAAGGUAUAGACCCGAAACCCGGUGAUCUAGCCAUGGGCAGGUUGAAGGUUGGGUAACACUAACUGGAGGACCGAACCGACUAAUGUUGAAAAAUUAGCGGAUGACUUGUGGCUGGGGGUGAAAGGCCAAUCAAACCGGGAGAUAGCUGGUUCUCCCCGAAAUCUAUUUAGGUAGAGCCUUGAGGUGACACCUUUGGGGGUAGAGCACUGUUUCGGCUAGGGGGCCAUCCCGGCUUACCAACCCGAUGCAAACUACGAAUACCAAAGAGUGAUACUCAGGAGACACACGGCGGGUGCUAACGUCCGUCGUGGAGAGGGAAACAACCCAGACCGCCAGCUAAGGUCCCCAAGUCUAUAUUAAGUGGGAAACGAAGUGGGAAGGCUUAGACAGCUAGGAUGUUGGCUUAGAAGCAGCCAUCAUUUAAAGAAAGCGUAAUAGCUCACUAGUCGAGUCGGCCUGCGCGGAAGAUGUAACGGGGCUGAAAUAUAGCACCGAAGCUGCGGCAUCAG